This 402-nucleotide ribosomal RNA is filed under the name uncultured bacterium. RNAcentral's name for it is "bacterial SSU rRNA". It matches the Rfam family "Eukaryotic small subunit ribosomal RNA", at positions 554 to 961 of the family's 1831-position model. RNAcentral also lists the same sequence under 1 other name. The record is from RNAcentral.
UGCAAGUCUGGUGCCAGCAGCCGCGUUAAUUCCAGCUCCAAUAGCGUAUGUUAAAGUUGUUGCAGUUAAAACGUCCGUAGUCAAAUUUUAGUAUCACCGGCGCGGUGCCUUGGUCUUCAUUGAUCAAGCUCGCGGUCGAUGGAGACUCCACGUCCGAAGGCUCCUAGUCCUCGUGGCUAGGGUUUUGUGGUCAAUUACCAUGAGCAAAUCAGAGUGUUUAAAGCAGGCUUUUAAGCUUGAAUGUGUUAGCAUGGAAUAUUGAAAUAUGAAUUUAGUCCUAUUUUCGUUGGUUUAGGUACUAUAGUAAUGAUUAAUAGAAACGGUUGGGGGCAUUUGUAUUUGGCCGAAAGAGGAGAAAUUCUUGGAUAGGCCGAAGACCAACGACUGCGAAAGCCUUACCAC